Molecule: ribosomal RNA, 405 nt
Filed under: uncultured bacterium
Lineage: Bacteria
Description: partial 16S ribosomal RNA
Rfam family: Bacterial small subunit ribosomal RNA
Source: RNAcentral
AUUGAACGCUAGCGGGAUGCUUUACACAUGCAAGUCGAACGAGAGGCGGACGGGUGAGUAAUAAAUCGGAAUGUGACCAGUAGCGGGGGAUAACUAAUCGAAAGUGUGGCUAAUACCGCAUACUUUUGGAGCGGCCGAUAUCGGAUUAGCUAGUUGGUGGGGUAAAGGAUCACAAAGGCGACGAUCCGUAGCUGGUUUGUGAGGACGACCAGCCACACUGGGACUGAGACACGGCCCAGACUCCUACGGGAGGCAGCAGUGGGGAAUAUUGGACAAUGGGGGAAACCCUGAUCCAGCCAUGCCGCGUGUAUGAGAAGGCCUUCGGGUUGUAAAGUACUUUAGGCAGAGAAGCGGUAUCUGCAGAAUAAGCACCGGCUAACUACGUGCCAGCAGCCGCGGUAAUAC